This 254-nucleotide ribosomal RNA is filed under the name uncultured bacterium. RNAcentral describes it as "partial 16S ribosomal RNA". It matches the Rfam family "Bacterial small subunit ribosomal RNA", at positions 524 to 776 of the family's 1533-position model. The record is from RNAcentral.
CACGUAGGGUGCGAGCGUUGUCCGGAAUUAUUGGGCGUAAAGAGCUCGUAGGCGGUGUGUCGCGUCGGCCGUGAAAACCUGCAGCUUAACUGUGGGCUUGCGGUCGAUACGGGCAUCACUGGAGUUCGGCAGGGGAGACUGGAAUUCCUGGUGUAGCGGUGAAAUGCGUAGAUAUCAAGAGGAACACCUGAGGUGAAGACGGGUUGCUAGGCUGACACUGACGCUGAGGCGCGAAAGCCAGGGGAGCAAACGGG